UUUUUGACCUUAAACUUGGAGUGUGAGUUGCCAGUUUCAGAGUUUGCAAGAACACAUUUGCCUGUAUAAUUCAAGGGCUCUGGCACUCUCAAUUGUUUCCAGACCAGAGCAGGUUCUUCUUUUGUCACUAAGGGUCUCAAGGAAGCCACACAAGCACCAAGUCACACAAUAGGCACCUGCUCUUGUAUCCACCAGUCCCUAAAGUGCUGAUGUGCAUAUUGUCAUUUCUUUGGCCCUCCUCUUCUGUUUUCCAUACUAAU
This 260-nucleotide long non-coding RNA is filed under the name Homo sapiens (human). RNAcentral's name for it is "non-protein coding lnc-DMAC1-11:1". The record is from RNAcentral. Lineage: Eukaryota; Metazoa; Chordata; Mammalia; Primates; Hominidae.